This 468-nucleotide ribosomal RNA is filed under the name uncultured bacterium. RNAcentral's name for it is "partial 16S ribosomal RNA". It matches the Rfam family "Bacterial small subunit ribosomal RNA", at positions 28 to 507 of the family's 1533-position model. The record is from RNAcentral.
GACGAACGCUGGCGGCGUGCUUAACACAUGCAAGUCGAACGGAAAGGCCCUGCUUUUGUGGGGUGCUCGAGUGGCGAACGGGUGAGUAACACGUGAGUAACCUGCCCUUGACUUUGGGAUAACUUCAGGAAACUGGGGCUAAUACCGGAUAGGAGCUCCUGCUGCAUGGUGGGGGUUGGAAAGUUUCGGCGGUUGGGGAUGGACUCGCGGCUUAUCAGCUUGUUGGUGGGGUAGUGGCUUACCAAGGCUUUGACGGGUAGCCGGCCUGAGAGGGUGACCGGCCACAUUGUUACUGAGAUACGGCCCAGACUCCUACGGGAGGCAGCAGUGGGGAAUAUUGCACAAUGGGCGGAAGCCUGAUGCAGCAACGCCGCGUGCGGGAUGACGGCCUUCGGGUUGUAAACCGCUUUCGCCUGUGACGAAGCGUGAGUGACGGUAAUGGGUAAAGAAGCACCGGCUAACUACGUG